This 22895-nucleotide long non-coding RNA is filed under the name Malus domestica (apple). Its description in RNAcentral is "long non-coding RNA (MDOM_LNC001959)". Lineage: Eukaryota; Viridiplantae; Streptophyta; Magnoliopsida; Rosales; Rosaceae. The record is from RNAcentral.
CCCCAACAUUCUGUGCCAUAAAGCAUUGAUUGAAUUAUUCUUAUAAAAAAAAUCUUUAAGCUUUAGUGGCGUAUCACGGUCGCACAACACACCCAAUGCAUUCUUUUACUUUAUCCAUCCAACUUGUAUUCUAUGGUUGAGGUCUCCAUCCAAUUCUCCAUUCUUUUGUAAGAUAGAUUCAAGAUAGAGAAAUGUUCACUCUUUGGUACUUCCUGAUCUCCAAUCCUCACCCCUUAACUCAUUUGAACCUUCGUUCUUAUUGAACUUGCACUCUAUAUACUAUGACUUUGACCUACUUAAGUGAGAACCUUUAGAUUCCAACACUUCUUGCCAAAGGUUAAGUUUCGCAUUUACUCCAUCUUGAGUUUCAUCUAUCAACACUAUAUCGUCUAUGAAAAGCAUACAUCAAGGAAUAUCAUCUUGAAUAUGUCUCGUUAACUCAUCCAUUACCAAUGUAAAAAGGUAAUGACUUAAAGAUGAGCCUUAAUGUAACCAUACAGUUAUAGGGAAGCUUUUAGUUUGUCCUUCAUAAGUUCUUACGGUCGUCCUUGCUCCAUCGUACAUAUCCUUUAUAACUUGAAUAUAUGUUACUCGUACUCCUUUCUUCUCUAAAAUCCUCCAAUGAAUCUCUCUUGGGACCCUAUUAUAUGCUUUUUCCAAAUCUAUAAAGACCAUGUGCCAAUCCUUUUUUCAUAUCUCUAUAUCAUUUCAUCAAUCUUCGUAAGAGAUAGAUUGCCUCUAUGGUUAAGCGUCCUCUCAUGAACCCGAUUUGAUUGUCUGAAACUUGUGUCUCUUUCCUUAGUCUAUGCUCAAUUACUCUCUCACAGAGCUUCAUUGUACGACUCAUUAACUUAAUACCCUUAUAGUUAAUACAACUUUGUAUAUCGCUCUUAUUCCUGUAGAUAGGCACUAAAGUGCUCUUUCGUCACUUAUUUGGCAUCUUCUUCAUUUCAAAAUCUUAUUGAAAAGGCUUGCAAGCCAUGCUAUACAUGUCUCUCUAAAGACUUUCCACACUUCGAAUGGUAUAUCAUCCAGGCCCACUGCUUUUCUAUGUUUCAUCUUUUUCAAAGCUACAACCACUUCUUCCUUCCUGAUUUUGCGGUAGAAGAAGUAAUUUCUACACUCUUUUGAGUUACUCAACUCCUCUAAAGAAGUUCUCUUGUUAUGUUCUUCAUAGAAUAGAUUAUGAAAAUAAUCUCUUUAUCUGUCUUUAACCAUAGUCUUUGUACCUAGAACAUCUCCUUUUACAUCAUUGAUGCACCUCACUUGGUUCAAGUCUCUUGUCUUCCUUUCCCUUGCUCCAGCUAGUUUAUAGGAUUUAAACUCCCCUUCUUUGGUAUCUAAUCGCUUAUACAUAUCAUCCUAGGUUCGCUUCUUUCACGGAUUUAUUCACCUCCUCUUCACUACUUUAUACCUUUCACAACUUUCAUUGGUUCUAUCCUUUUAUAAGACUUUACAACAAUCCUUCUUAGCCUCAACCUUUGAUUGUACCUCCUCCUUCCACACCAAGAUUCUUUUUGAUGUGAAGCAAAACCCUUGAACUUUCCUAAUACCCUUCUUGCGAGUCGGAUACAGAUAGCCAUAAAACCCCACAUUUGGCUAGCAUCCCCCUCUAUAUCCUAAAAGCACUGGGUGGGUACUUGCUCUUUGAAACUGACUUGUUUUUCUCCUUUAGAUUCCAUUAUCUAGUCCUUGGGCACUUCAAGGUCAUGUUUGUUCUUCUAUCUCUUUUAAUAUGUACAUCCAUCACCAAAAACUAAUGUUGGUAUGAGACACCCCAACCCAGAAUGUCAACUAGGACUCCGAAUCAAGCUGUGUUGGCCGAUAAUUGGAAGGUGGCGAAGUCACAAAGUGUAGUGAUGUGAAAAAUGUGAAUAAAUUUAAACCUAAAUACAAAAGUGUGUUGUGAGUGGGAAUGAACCCAAUUCACACAUGAUGACAGAGCAUAAGUACAAUCCAGUAAAAUAGGGUGAAUGGGCCUAUUGUCCUGAAAUAUUACGUACUAUAACGUAUUAAAGUUUGGUGACGAUCCAAUUGUCGGAUCGUUGAAUCAUAAAAUGGUCAAGUGACGUAAUAUUCCAUACUAGGUUCAAACUAUCGAACUAUAACAAAUGGUUAUCAAAUUGACAUUAUAACAUCAAAUUUAACUAAAAAAUGCAACGUCGGCCCACUCGCCACAUGCCGCCGUACGUGGCGGGUGGCCACCCGACUGGCUAGAAAAUUCAACUAUUUCUAAAAAUUCUCAAAUUUUACAGGAAGGAAGAUCUCAAUGAGUAGAGCAAGUUUUAUACAUGUGACGAAGUCCAAUUUGGCCAGGAAAAGCUUCAAAUCACCAUAAACCCUCCGGAACCUUAGUAUUUGCGUGUUCUUGAUUUGUCCUCAAAUCAACUCCAACGUUCCAACCAAUGAUUAGGCAUUGUUCUAAGCUCAAGAGAGGGCUAGUGGUGGUGGCAAUUGAAAGAAAUCAUUGCAAGAAUGGCAUAUUCGUGAUAGGAGCAUAAUUAUUCGACUUGAUUAGCUUGUUUUCUUGCAUUUAUGUUGUUAGUUCACAGUUAUUUUUGUAUUUUAAGCUAUUUCAUGUGUUUGUAGAUCCAAUUGGCUAAAGUUGCAAGAAAGUGCAUUUUGGUGCAUUUUGGAGCAUUUUUUGGCUUGGAAUGGAUAUCACAUGCAUGGAGCAAGGUGGAUGGAUGAAAUUGAAGACUAAAAAGGCUAGGAAUGUGUUAAAGAGAAAGAAAAAUUAAUUUAAAGAAGAUAAGGAGCUCAGUAAGAAAAGAAGAACAUGAGUCAAGUUACCUUAUUUUGAUUUAACCUUUCUUAAUCCUAAUCCAACUAAGUUCCAGCCUCAAUGAGGGUUCCCAAAGAUAUUAGGACACUAAAUAAAGGAUUCUAGAAGCCUUAAUCUCAGCCACAAAGGGGUGUCAAACCACCUAUCACCUUCUUUGCCGUGCACACCAUUCUUGUCCCCUCCAUUGUCUCAUUGCUGCACCAUUUUAUCACUUUCACCUUCCUUGCCUUACACACCACCCUUGUCCCCUUCAUUAUCCCCUUGCUAAACCAUUCCACCACCUUUUACCUUCCUUGUCGUGCACACAUCCAUGUCUCCUUCCUUGCAGCCUUAACCUUUUGCAUUUCCUUCCCCUUUCCUUGUCACACCACUCCCUUUCCUUUCCCUAGCUGUGCACUCUUUCCCUUUUCUUCUAGAUUUCUGCCACAACUUUCACUUUCACUAUUGUGUCAUAACCUUUCCUUUUCCCUUGCCUUGUGUCCCCUUCCUUGUCCCCUUAACCUUUUCCUUAGAUUCUGAUUUGAUUUAGAGUUAAAAAUCCUUCUACAAACAUUACUUUCUUUCCCUUGGUUUUUCUCUGCCGCACCCUAGCUGUAUUUCCCUAGUGUUUUGACAUAUUUUGCUAUUUAAGUAAGUGUGUGUAACAGCCAUUGGGUACCAAAUUUCAUCCAUCCUCCACCACAAUCCACCACCAUUCAACACAACCAAAAAAACACAUCCACACACCAUCCCUCUACUUUGCCGCGCCCCCUUACCAACCCAAAUCCAUUCCUAAACCAGAAACACAUCCAAAAUCAUCCCUUAACCUCUGUGCCGCAGCAAGGAAAAGAAGAGAGAUGAGCUUGAAUGUGCAGGGCAUUCAAGUUAAUUCGCUGGGCGUUUUAGGUGUAAUCAAUCUUUUGUUUUCAAUGUUUAAAUUCAAUUUUGUUUCUUUUGAUGUGAACAUGAGAGGCUAAACUUGUUUUAGCUAGGGGAGACUUUGAAGCCAUGAUUUUAUAUGCAAUAUGAAUUGAUUAAAUCUAGUUAUGAAUUUGUGAAUCGUGAAUGCAAUUUGCUUAACUGUUUUAUUCAGAACUUAUUCUUGUAUGUCGAUUAAGGGUGCACACUUAGUUUGCAUGCAUGAAUUUGAUGCUAGAAUAUAAGGGAAUUUCACAUAAUCGUUAGGAACUUAUAUUCACAAGUAGUGAAGUUUUCUAGUCACGAUCGCGUUAAGUUAAAUUCUUGGCAUGAGUAUCAUGAUGUCAUAGUUACGAAUGCUUUAUCAAUGCUUAUGAUUUUCACAGAACGUAAUGAUCUUUGAUUGUAUCUCUAUUAUGAUGUCAUGUAGGGAACUUUUGAAGAAUGCUUUGGGUUGUCGAAUGAUGUCAUCCAAUCCAAUAACUAAAGGAAAAUCUGAAGGUUAAUUAGUGAUCGACACGGUUAAUCUGGGGCAUUGUCGUUCAUAAUUCAACAAAAGAGUAACUGGAAAUCGAUUCAUGUUCAUAUAAGUUAUGUGUGGAUAAGGAACCUCUAGCUAAGCCCACAAACCAUCCAGAAAUCCAAAUUCGUACCAAACUUUGUCUAGUUUAGUUUCUGUCUUGUUUUAGUUCAAAUUCUUCAAAACCAAAACCCCCUCCCUUUGUUUUAAGUAUCAAUUAGGUUAGAAUCUGUGUUAUUUUGUGUUUUUUAGUGUCUUAAGUCAUAAUCAAAUCAAUUUUCGUUCAAAGUCAUCUCUAGUGUCUAGUUUGAGUCAAUUUGAUUGUUUGAAGCUGUUUUGAGUCUUUUAAGGUUGUUUGAGUCAUAUAACCUUAGUUAGAGUUUUAGAGUCUAGUUUUUAUGUUUUUAGGUCAGUUUAGUUUAGAUUAGCAAUCCCUCCUAAUCGCCGAUUUAGAACGAUCCCUACUUAUACACAUACUGCAAUUGUCAAAAGAUGGUUUUAAUUUGUGUGCUUGUUUUACAUCUCAUCAAAUUCAAAUUCCCCCACACUUAGCUUUUGCUAGUCCUCGAGCAAAACAAAACAAACAAAACAAAACCUAAACCUUCCAACAUUUGCCUCAGGGAUUUCCAAAUGAAAUAUGACACGCCAAAGAUCACUACUCCCAUAGAUUUUAGUCAUCCUUACCCUCGAGCACACACUUAAUCAAAGUCACCACUUACUAGCUCGCAUUUAAUGAAUUAAAACAAUGCUUUGAAUGAAAUAACAUGCCUUAGAGAAUUCCCUCAAUUCCUCACCUGAUAUACUCUCUAUUUUCACACAGAUUUUCUAACUACACUCCCUAUACUAAGUAUAUGUGAGAAGAUUGAUGUAAACAUGUAAACUAGUACUCACAUAUGUUUUAAACAAAGAAGGCACUUUCUGGAGUUAUUAAUACAUGUCUAUGUAUAUGAUCUCAUGAACGGAAUGCUACUACAUAGAAGCGAGAACCAGGGAUUCCAUAUGCUCACACCAAUUUCAAACUCCAUAGAUUGAAACACAUAACACCCAAGAUAGAAGUCAAAGGGUUGUAACGGGACUAGGGUAUUGGCUAACAAAGAAAGGUAAGGAUAAACAAACAUUCUUAAAGCAAUAGUGAGCAAAGUAAUGAAAUUGACACUUAGAAUUCAAUUUUGAAUGCAAAAAUCCACUUUAAACACAAAGGGAAGAUUCACAAAACACUUAGGGCCAGAUUCAAAUUUUUGGACCCUUUCUUCAACAACCAACACUUGUGAGCUCAUUCUCAUUUAUUUUCAACUCUUUUCCUUUCUUUUCAACACACUUUUUCUUUUCUUUUUCUUUUUCCACAUUUUUUUUUCUUUUGUGGGAAACAACCUUCCCCCACACUCGUUUUCUGCAUAAUGUUAAUCAAAUUGAAUUCCCUCUAAGAGAUGCUCCACUAUACUUCAAGAACAAGGGUAUAGAUAGUCCUAUUCUAGGCUAGGUAGGGAUAAUGUGGCUAACAAAGAAAAUAGGCUAAACAAGGCUCAAAGGGGGUUAAACCUACAAAACAAAUGCAUGGGAUAAAGGCUUUUUGGCUCUGGUGGUAACUACUAAACAACUUCAUCUUGUUAUGUGUUAUGCACUCAAUUUUAAACUUUGAAUGAAACGGGCAUGAGUUCUAGUAUUUGGAACUAUAAUGAUGAAAACGUAUUCUAAGUAACAACCAAGCAAAGAAUAAUGAGAUCAUGCAACAACUUAGAAAACAAGAAUGCACAGAUUAAUAACUCUCCAAAUAACAUUUAGGCUCAAGUCUCACAGGGUUGUAGCGUUAGUUUGAGUUCCUUCCUUCAAGCAUGUUACAAAAACUGAUUUUAUUUUUUUUUCCCUUUAGGAUUCCAUGUGAAUUCGUAAACAUCAACUACAACCAAGCAUAAACCAGAGAGCAUAUCAAACUUCCACCCAUGUUUGUAACUUUCUUUAACAGUCAUGUAAUUAAAAACCAAAUCCUCAUCAUUGUGUUGGAAGGUACCCUAAGACACAAACACACAAAAACGACUCUUUUUGGGUUUUUCAAAACAUUUUCUAACUUUUUUUUUUUCAAAUUUUCGUAUUUUUCAUUCAAAACACACUAAAAUAGUUCAAAACACACUAAAAACACUGAAAACAGUGAAAACAACUCUAGAGGGGAUAGGUGAUAAAAACCCACGAAUUUUCAAUAAAAACACUUUGUUUACCCCCCCCCCCACACUUAAACCAAACAUUGUCCUCCAUGUUUCAAAUAUAGACCCACACAUAAACAAACAAACAAACAAACAACGAACUAAUCAUGACAAAAAGGUCGUACCCAGUGCACAAGGCUCCCGCUUUACGCAGGGUCUGGGAGAGGUAAAUGUCGGCUAGCCUUACCCCCAUUUAUGGAGAGGCUGCUCCCAAGUCUCGAACCCGAGACCUACCACUCAUGGGCGAAGGCACUUGCCAUCGCACUAAGUGCGACCUCCGAACUAAUCAUGACAAACAUGGCAAAAUAAAUGCAGUAAAGAUAAGGGUUGUAGGAACGCAAAUCUGGUUUUGGUGCGAUGCCUAGGUCCUCCUUAUUUGAAUGCAUGGGUUGCCUCCCAAGAAGCGCUUGCUUUAACAUCUUGCAGCCGGACGAUACUUCCAUUCAAACUCCCCUAGGUCCCACGACAUGGAAUUAAUCUUUGAAUGGAAGGUGAUACUUGCAAUGAUCCGGUAAUGGUUUAAAUUUUAGAGUGGGUGCCUGAAUCAUUAACAACAUAUUAGUAUAAAACAAAAUUGAAUUUCAGGGAGGUGGCGUACCUCUUUGCUCCGACAUGAACUCAAGAAUAAACACCACGUCUUUGAAAGUUUCAGGAAUGUUGGACUUGGCCAGAUUUAAUAUGAUGGUUGUGACUUGUCAUGUGUUAUAAAUCUCAACUUCUUUGGGCUUUGUUGUCUCACAUACAUUUUCUUGGAUGCAUUCUACAUUUUCCCUAGCUACUUUUUUCUCUUGAAUCCUUCUUCUUGAUGUACAAUUCUUUUCAAGAAAUUCAACACAUUCUGGAACUUGUUUUGUUAUAACAAGAAUCGGGAUAAUAUUUGGCACCUUUGGGAGGGCUUCCACGAUGUUUUUUCCACUCUCUUCUUCCUUGGAAAUCAUGAACCUGUGAGGAAAAGGGACAUUUGGUGGAAUAGGGUUAGAAAGAAUUGAAUUUGGAACAACAUUACCUGAAUUGCAUGGCAUGGAAGUUUUAAGGACUUGUGGUAAGGGUUGUUCUUUCCUUGCCAUGGGUGUGUCUUCUUCCUCCUCCUCAAUCAACAACUUCUUGUCCUCUUCUAGGCUAUGUUUGGAUGUUUUUAGGUCAUCUCCAAUCUCCAUAACACUUCCCAAAAUGAUAGCUUUAGUGAUUUCAAAAUCUCCCAUUGAAUUUACAAUAGUUGAGUUGGAGAGUUCACUUUGUUCUUGAAUUUGCCCUAUGAAUUCUGUGAUCUCUCCUAUUUGAUUCUUCAAUUCACUCAUCACUUGGGCUUGAUUUUGUGAUUCAUGCGCCAAAGAAGUUAGUACAUCAAGAAUUUGAGCACAAUCUAUUGACGAACCUGAAUUCGGUUUGAAUUGUUGCGGGGCAGGUUGUGGUGGCUGCAUAGGCGUUGUAUAGAACUCCUCAUAUGGCUGCCAAUAUUCUCCUUGUUGAGCCUCCUUGGCUUGAUUUUGUGAGCCCUACGCCAAAGAAUUUAAUUCAUCAAGAAUUUGAUCAUAAUCUAUUGCUGAACAUGAGUUUGGUUGGGCAUAUUGUAUAUGAGGUUGUGGUGGUUGCGCAGGUCUUGAAUAGAACUCCUCAUAUGGCUCCCAAUAUGCUUCGUGUUGAACUGGUUAAGGUUCCCACCACAUAGAGUUUGAAUGAUCACUCCAAUCUGAAUUGUACAUGUUGGAAAACAAGUUGUUCCUUGAUUGAUUAUGAUCUUGAUAACCCCAGGUAUUGACACUCUCCCAACUUCUUUGUGGAUGUUGAUCAGCUUGAUAUCCUUGCGUAUAGGACACAUCGAAUGUAGGGGUGCUUUGUAUUAUGGUCCUUUCGAUGUACUGUGACAAUUGAGAAGUAAGAUUUGCCAUUUGAACUUGAAGAUUAGCAAUUGCCAUGUCUUACUUCUUUAGUACCUGAUAUCAAAGAAAGAAAACUAAAUCAAAUAUCAUAAGUAAAUUAAACAAAACAGGGUAUUUAGCAAAACAAAGAAAACAAGAAAACAAAACAAAGUCAUAAAAAAAAAUACACGAAAAAGAAACAAGAGGGAUUAGCAAAGUUGCUAAUUCCCGGCAACGGCGCCAAAAUUUGAUGCGAUGUAAAACAAGCACACAAAUUAAAACCCUCUUUUGACAAUUGUAAUAUGUGUAUAAGUAGGGAUCGUUCUAAACCAAGGAUUAGAAGGGAUUGCUAAUCUAAACUAAACUGACCUAAAAACAUAAAAACUAGACUCUAAAACUCUAACUAAGGUUAUAUGACUCAAACAACCUUAAAAGACUCAAAACAGCUUCAAACAAUCAAAUUGACUCAAACUAGACACUAGAGAUGACUUUGAACGAAAAUUGAUUUGAUUAUGACUUAAGACACUCAAAAACACAAAAUAACACAGAUUCUAACCUAAUUGAUACUUAAAACAAAUGGGGGUUUUGGUUUUGACAAAUUUGAACUAAAACAAGACAGAAACUAAACUAGACAAAGUUUAGUACGAAUUUGGAUUUCUGGAUGGUUUGUGGGCUUAGCUAGAGGUUCCUUAUCCACACAUAACUUAUAUGAACAUGAAUCGAUUUCCAGUUACUCUUUUGUUAAAUUAUGAACGACAAUGCCCCAGAUUAACCGUGUCAAUCACUAAUUAAUCCUCAGAUUUUCCUUGAGUUAUUAGAUUGGAUGACAUCAUUCGACAACCCAAAGCAUUCUUCAAAAGUUCCCUACAUGACAUCAUAAUAGAGAUACAAUCAAAGAUCAUUACGUUAUGUGAAAAUCAUAAGCAUUGAUAAAGCAUUUGUAACUAUGACAUCAUGAUACUCAUGCCAGGAAUUUAACGUAACGUGAUCAUGACUAGCAACCUUCACUACUUGUGAAUAUAAGUUCCUAACGAUUAUGUGAAAUUCCCUUAUAUUCUAGCAUUAAAUUCAUGCAUGCAAACUAAGUGUGCACCCUAAUUGACAUACAAGAAUAAGUUCUGAAUAAAAUAGUUAAGCAAAUUGCAUUCAUGAUUCACAAAUUCAUAACUGGAUUUAAUCAAUUCAUAUUGCAUAUAAAAUCAUGGCUUCAAAGUCUCCCCUAGCUAAAACAAGUUUAGCCUCUCAUGUUCACAGCAAAAGAAACAAAAUUGAAUUUAAACAUUGAAAACAAAAGAUUGAUUACACCUAAAACGCCCAGCGAAUCAACUUGAAUGCCCUGCAUGUUCAAGCUCAUCUCUCUUCUUUUCCUUGCUGCGGCACAGAGGUUAAAGGAUGAUUUUGGAUGUGUUUCUAGGUUAGGAAUGGAUUUGGGUUGGUAAAGGGGUGCGGCAAAAUAGAGGGAAGGGGUGUGGAUGUGUUUUUUUUGUUGUGUUGAAUGGUGGUGGAUUGUGGUGGAGGAUGGAUGAAAUCUGGUACCCAAUGGCUAUUACACACACUUACUUAAAUAGCAAAAUAUGUCAAAACAUUAGGGAAAUACAGCUAGGGUGCGGCAGAAAAAACAAGGGAAAGAAAGUAAUGUUUGUAGAAGGAUUUUUAACUCUAAAUCAAAUCAGAAUCCAAGGAAAAGGUUAAGGGGACAAGGAAGGGGACACAAGGCAAGGGAAAGGGAAAGGUUAUGACACAAUAGUGAAAGUGAAAGUGAAAGUUGUGGCAGAAAUCUAGAAGAAAAGGGAAGGAGUGCACAACUAGGGAAAGGAAAGGGAGUGGUGUGACAAGGAAAAGGGAAGGAAAGGCAAAAGGUUAAGGCUGCAAGGAAGGAGACAUGGAUGUGUGCACGGCAAAGAAGGUGAAAGGUGGUGGAAUGGUUUAGCAAGGGGACAAUGAAGGGGCCAAGGGUGGUGUGUAAGGCAAGGAAGGUGAAAGUGAUAAAAUGGUGCAGCAAUGAGACAAUGGAGGGGACAAGAAUGGUGUGCACGGCAAGGAAGGUGAUAGGUGGUGUGACACCCCUUUGUGGCUGAGAUUAAGGCUUCUAGAAUCCUUUAUUUAGUGUCCUAAUAUCUUUGGGAACCCUCCUUGAGGCUGGAACUUAGUUGGAUUAGGAUUAAGAAAGGUUAAAUCAAAAUAAGGUAACUUGACUCAUGUUCUUCUUUUCUUGCUGAGCUCCUUAUCUUCUUUAAAUUAAUACUUCUUUCUCUUUAAUACAUUACUAGCCUCUUUGGUCUUCAAUUUCGUCCAUCCACCUUGCUCCAUGCAUGUGAUAUCCAUUCCAAGCCCAAAAAUGCUCCAAAAUGCACCAAAAUUCACUUUCUUGCAACUUUAGCCUAUUAGAUCUACAAACACACGAAAAUAGCUUAAAAUACAAAAAUAACUAUGAACUAACAACAUAAAUGCAAGAAAACAAGCUAAUCAAGUCGAAUAAUUAUACUCCUAUCAAUUUGUCAUCGUGCACCCCUCGUAGCCGACGUGGGUGUUCUUGUGAAACUAGGGUCAAAAACCCGUCAAUCAUGGGUGGAAAUUGAAGAAUAAGGGCCGGCGAGAAGUUCCCAGGUGGUGGAUGGCUGCAAUUUGGCAGAAAAAUCGACGGAAUGGCUACAGAACGGGUCGGCUCGGUAGGGAGGAACUGGGUCAGGGUGAUCCAAUGCUCCCUCACUCUCUCCUUUUCCUUCCUUUCAUCUUUCUCCCAUUGGUCACUCACCCUCUCCCUUCUCUCCAUUCGUCCUCACAUCUCCCUCCUUUCUUUCCUUUAUUUUCCAUCUCCACCGAUCAUUUCUCAUUCCCUUCAAUCUCAGCCACACACGUGGCUUUCCAGAUUUAGCUUCAAAAAUCUGGAGCCUUCUAGAAAAUAAUUAAUUGACCAUUUUGUCCUCAACUUCGUUCAUUAAUAACUUCUUCGUUAUAACUCCAAAUUGCAUUCCGUUUACGCCCACGCGUUCGUAGCGAUGAGUACUACAAGGAUACGCCAAGAAAAUGAGUCUUACAUGACAUGGUAGUCAACGAAAGUCAACCUCCUCGUCUCUAAGGGCAAUUUCAUCCUUUCACUCUUCUAAAAUUAAUAAAAUCGUAAAAGUAGGGACAUGUUAUCACAUGGUAAGCUAGGCUCUCUCCUAGUAUAACUUUGCAAUCCUUACAAGUUAUACGAUCAUUCUUCCUCAUUAAAAGGAAAUUUGUUUGUGUUUUUGAUGACCCACUCUGUAAAAUCAUAUCUACACUAAAUUAAUUAAAACUACGGUUGUUUCCAUACAUUUUGAUGACUAAAUGAUCUUCUAUUUAAUUUUUUUUGCGAAAAUAAUAUUUCCAUAGUGUUUAUAAUAUGAACGAUUUCUUUAAUAAACAUAAAGAUCCGUAAAUCGGCUACAUUCAUUAAGGAGCCUUUCUUAAAGAAAAAACACUCGCAUUAAAUUACCAUAAGAAAAAGUUAAAAUAAGAAAUGAGUGAAAAGUAUGAGCCGAUGGAUAGUAACGAGAGAUUUCUCAGUGUGUUCGAAACACAAGUGGCACAAUACAUAUCAUUAUAAAUUGAAGGGACACUUGCAAAAAGAAAAUUUCCUUGAAAUAUAUAAUACAUGUGGCACACCACUCCGUGUUCCGAGUACAUUGAAAAACCUCUCCACAGUAACAGUCCAAAUCAAGUACUUCAAAGAUCAAUAAUAUUUUUUUUUAACAAAAUGAGCUAGCAAUAAAAUGGUUCAAAUUCGCACGUGGCGAGAAUCGAACCUAAGACCUCUUACUUACAAGUGAAGAAAAAUACCACUAAACCACAGUACUAAGUGGCAAGAUCAAUAAUAUUUAUUGUUCAGAGGUAUUUGUUGAUAUGCCCCCCAAACUUGUAAGGAUUGACCAAUUUACCCCCCCCCCCUUAACUUUAAUUUUGGUCGAUUUCCCCCUUCAACUCGCAUAAUUAGUCAAUUUCCACCUUACCGUUAGAUUUCAAAUUUUUCCAUCCAAUCUUCAGUUAAAUAUUUCAUGUGCUAUCCACAUGAUUCUCUAAAGGGUAAUAAUGUCAGUCUCUCUAUACCUUCUUCUUCUCCCUUUUCUCCAAACCCAAGUUUUCUUCUCCGUUUAGCCAAGUCAUCUUUCAAACCCAACAUUUAUGUAUGUUUCAUCUCCGUUGGUCAAACCCAGUAUUUCUCUAUGUUUCUCCUCCAAUCUCUAAACCCAUCAUUCAAUUCUUGUUAUUCAUUCAAGGCAUGGAUUAGGUCAGUGGUGUUGAAGCUCUGAUCGCCACAUGAGGCGGAGUGGAGAGAAAAACAAGCUUGCUACUAGAGUUGUCUAUGUUGAUGAGGUGGGGAAUGUUCAGUUGAUAACCACGAUGGCAUAGACGCAGUCAUAGCCCCAUGAAAUACUUAAAUGGAAAAUUGGAUGGUAAUUUUGAGAAUCUAACGAUGAAGUGGAAAUUGACUAAUUAUGAAAGUUGAGGGGGGAAAUUGGCCAAACUUAAAGUUAAGAGGGGAACUUGAACAUUUCUUACAAGUUUGGGGGGGGGGGCAAAUCGACGAAUGCCUCUAUUAUUUAUUUACUUUAUUACACAACAGUGGGUCCCACGUUCAUUCACAUAAAUUGUAGAUAGACUUCUUUGUCCACUAUAAACCCAGAGAUAAGAGAAAUGAUGGGAGGCAGUUAAAGGUGGACUACCCAGAGCCCAACUAUUAUAGACUAGUUAUGUGAUUGCUUCGAUCACAAGGGAUUCUAGUUAAUAAUAGUAAGGACUAAAGUGUAAGGCAAUUAAGGGUUAAAUUUUAAGGGGUUAAAAGUAUCAGGUUCAAUGGUAAUAGGCCAAUGGUUAAUUAAAGGUUUUUGUUAAGUUAUUAGAUGAUGUCUAGCUAGCAUCCGUGUACUGGGAAUGUCGGUGUGUAAGGUAUACAUGCUCCCAAAAUUGGUUGUAACAGUCACUUGAAAAAUUAAUAGAAUAUUCCUUUCAACUUUAUCUCUCUCCUCUCACUUUAUCCCUUACUGACAUAGCUACCAGCUCUCGUUGAUUCUUCAGCUCUGGUCAUGGUCCUAAAAUUGGUAUCACCCACCAAUCCUAGAUUUUCCCAAUGUGUAUGCCCCGUCCUAAGCCAAACACUUGUCCCAAAACCAUGGAUGCUCACUUUCUUGCUCUCGAAGCUGAUUUACCCUCUCUUAUCAUGGAUGUGGUGAACACAACUUUUGACACAAAGCUUUCCACCCAGCUUGAUUCGCACAUUCCGACCUAUUUUGAGCAGUUCUGACAUGAGCUCCAGCAUGAACUCACCUAUGGCAAAGAGGGUGAAGGUUCAUUGGUCCUCUUCUCAUCGAUUAUCAUGUUCCUCCUGAUCUGGAACCAAUUCAUCAACCGCGAAGUCCUGUGUGGAUUAGUGGUACUCAGAAUCUUUGACCUCAUGGCAGCAACAGCUUGAAUUUCCCCAAUUCACUGAGGGUGAUGAUCCCCUUGCUUGGAUUUACAAAGAUGAACAGUUCUUCACUUUCUAUGGGAUUUUGGACUCUCAACGUGUUCUCACUACCUCUUUCCAUUGUGACUACAAGCUUCUUCAUUAGUUCAUUUGGAUAGACUACAUCAACACCACUCUGAGUUGGCUGGAGUUCACCAAAGAUCUUUGCCGUGAAUUUGGGCCUCUAAGUUCGACGUUAGUGCUGAGGCUCUUUUCAAACUCAGGCACACAGGUACUCUUCAUGAUUACAUAGCUAAAUUUAGGCAUUUGGCUACAAGGUCUCCUGAGAUUGGCCCCAUUUUGCUGAAAAGUUGCUUUCUAUGAAGGUUGAAAAAAGAGUUGAGAUAUGAUGGCAAAUUGUUAAAACUUGCAAAUGUGCAUGAGGCUAUUGCAAUUGCAGUGCAACUUGAUUCCAAACUCACUGAGCUUAAUUUUCCUUUUUCUCGAACUUUCACAACCUCUAGACGUUCUAAUACAAUUGUUGCACCUAUCUACCAUAUUGUCCCUAGAAUUGGCAAUCUUGCCAUUAAGAAACUUACCCCAGAUGUGUUACAGAAUAAGAGAGAAAAGUGUGAAUGUUGGUUCUGUAAUGACAAGUGGGUAAGAGGGCAUAAGUGUGGGCUUAUGCAACUAUUAAUGAUGGAUAUAAUGGAUUCUGAAGUUACUGAGGUUGAAACAGUGGAGGACCAACCUAAAUUGCAGCAUAUGGAGCUCAGUGAAUGUGCUUUUUAUGGCACACAUGGAGGUCCUACAACCCAAAUUAUGAAGGUUCUCUAUCAAGUUAAUGGUCACACUGUGAAAAUCCUUCUCGACUCUAGCAGUUCUCACAACUUUGUAGAUUCUAAAUUGUUAAAACAUUAGGGACGGCAAGCUUAAACUACCAAGUCCUUUGAGGUCAUAAUAGCUUAUAGGGGCAAGGUUACAAGUUCUGGUUGCUGCAAGGCUGUUAAAUCAUCACUAGCAGGUUAUCACUGUCACACAGACCUAUAUUCCUUGCCAUUAGGUAGAUGUGAUGUAGUUUUGGGAGUGUAAAGGCUUUCCACAGUGAGCCAUGUGUUAUGGGAUUUCCAAUUUCUCACUAUGGAAUUCACCAAGAACCAUCACACCUACAAACUGUUUCAUAAUUCCUCCACUGAAACUAGGAUUCAAGAGGUGUCACUCCACCAUCUAGACAAGGAAAUAGUCAAUUCUAACUUGGGGUUAUUCUUGUACUCUAUUAAAGGAGAAAAGUUGGAAUUCUGUGAAUUGAGCUCAGUGCAGUUGCAGGAGCUGCAGUAACUCUUGGGUGCAUUUGGCCAUCAUAUCUCUCUUGUGCAAGGUGCUAAACCCCCAAGCAUUAGACCAUAUCACUAUGGUCUAUUACAUAAGACAGAGAUAGAAAAAACAGUCCAAUAGCAACUUGAUGCAGGUUUUAUAAGGCAAAGACAUAGCCCAUUUUCCUUCCCUGUGUUACUAGUGAAAAAGAAAGAGGGCACCUCAAGAAUGUGUAUAGACUAUAGAGAGCUCAAUGCACUCACCAUUAAGGAUUAAGUACCUCAUACCCCUUAUCAAUGAUCUAUUGGAUGAAUUGCAUAGAUCUUUCUACUUCUCUAAGUAAGACUUGAGGUCUGGGUAUCACCAUAUCUUAAUGCAACCUGGAGACAUUGAGAAAACUGCCUUUAGGACUCAUGAGGGCCAAUAUUAGUUCCUAGUAAUGCCUUUUCGGCUUACAAAUGCUCCUGCUACAUUCCAGAGCUUAAUGAAUGAUUUGUUUAAACCUCACUUUAGGAAAUUUGUGUUAGUCUUCUUUGAUGACAUCCUCAUCUAUAGCAAGACCUAGGAAACCCAUUUAGCUCACUUGCAAGUGGUGUUUGAGAUAAUGAAGCACAACCAACUCUUCCUUAAAAAAUCCAAAUGUUCUUUUGGCCAAGGUAGAGUUAAGCAUUUGGGACACUUUGUCUCCAAAGAGGGAGUAGCACCUAACCCUAAGAAAAUACAAGCUAAGAGGGAGUAGCACCUAACCUUGGGAUUCUGGCUAUUAUAGGAAGUUUGUGCCAUGCUAUGGAAAAAUUUGCCAGCCCUUAUACCAAUUGAUAAGAAAUGAUGGGUUCCAUUGGGAUACAGAAGCUAAAUAAACCUUUGGAAGACUUAAAGUUGCCAUGAUCUCUCCACAGGUACUUACCCUACUAGAUUUCUCCAAGCCAUUUGAGCUGAAGUGUGAUGCAUCAGGCUGUGGCAUUAGGGAUGUGCUGCAACCAAGGAAGAAAAAAUCGAUAAUAUCGGCGAUAUUUCGCCGAUAUUAUCGUUUUUUUAAAGGUCCGAUAUUUUUUUAACUAUCCAAAUAAUUUUCUUCAAAAUAUCACGAUAUUAUCGAUAAUAUCGCGAUAUUUUUAAAAUUAUCGAUAAUAUCGCAAUAAAAUAUUCAAAAAUACUUAAUAUGUUGAGAAAUCUCAACACAUACUACACUUGAUCAAAACCCAAAGACCAACCAAGACAUGAAGACAAGCUUUCUCAGGAUGUGAAUGUGCCUUUUAUAGACGUUUUUGGCUUGUUCACUGCCCUCGCUGGGCGAUGUGGGACUCAGUCACUCAACCAAGGAAGAAAAUCAGAAUUUCGGCCGAAACUUUACACCCACUUUAAACGGCCAUAACUUUGUCAAAACUCAACGAAAUCAAGCAAGACACAAACGAAAGUUGUAGCCCUCGAAGAGACGAAGAGAAUGGUACCUCAUACGACGUCUGAAUCGUCGUGGUUUGGCCGGAAAAUGUCUCGCAAGUCACUGAGAUCGCCGGAAACUGGGUAAGAUUCAAAUGAGUAUAACUUUUUUAAUACUCAACGAAAUUGAGUGAAACAAAAAGGAAAGUUGUACUACUCGACGAGACAAAGAGAUUGAUACCUUGCACGCCGGCCAACUCGCCGUGGUUUGGCCGGAAAUUUCCUCGAAAGCCACUGAGGUCGCCGAAAAUUGGGUAAGAUUCAAAUGAGUAUAACUUUUUCAAUAUGCAACGAAAUUGAGUGAAAUGAAAAGGAAAGUUGUAGCCCUCGAAGAGACGAAGAGAAUGGUACCUUACACGACGUCUGAAGCGUUGUGGUUUGGCCGGAAAUUUCCUCGAAAGCCACUGAGGUCGCCGGAAACUGGGUAAGAUUCAAAUGAGUAUAACUUUUUCAAUACUCAACGAAAUUGAGUGAAACAAAAAGAAAAGUUGUACUACUCGACGAGACGAAGAGAUUGAUACCUUGCACGCUGGCCAAAAUUCAAUUGACACACUCCUGGCUUCCAAAAUUCAAUUCUUUUACUUUAUAUAAACUUGAAAAAACAUAAUCGGCAUCCAAAUUAAAGUUUAGUCUUAUUCUUAUGUGUAAGAAAUUUAAAGUGUCAAAUUCGGCACAUUAUUCUUCAUCAUUUUAUUCACUUCCCAUUUUUUUUUAAUAUCCUAAAUAAAACCUCCAAAUAUUGUACUAAUUAAUUAUAUAUAAAUGAUUAUGGUGUGUUUAAACUUCUUUCAUUAAUUACUACAUAUUUUCUACACUCACAAUGUUUGCCAGCUCGCUAUAUAAUCAACUUAAAUCAGUUAAAUCCAUCAUGCAAUGCAUUUCCUUCCAAUUUUUUGUGAUAAACUAAUAGAUAUUGACUAAAUAAACAUCCUACAAAGUUUCAUUAAAAAUUUCCAAGUUUUUCUUACAAUUUCCGUGGUUUCCAUGUUAUUUUUAUCGAUAUCGAUAUUUUACCGAUAUUUCCAUCGAUAUUUCCGUGUUUUCGGACUACCGAUAUUUCCGAUAUUACCGAUAUUUUCUUCCUUGGCUGCAACAAUGCGGGAAUUGCUUUUUCAAGCCAAUCAUUGGGAUCAAGGAAUCAAGCACUCUCUAUUUAUGAGAGAGAGUUAAUUACAGUGGUUUUUGCAAUGAGAAAGUGUCAGAAUUACUUGCAGGGUAGGCAUUUCAUAAUUAAGACUGACCACAAGAAUCUUAAGUAUUUCUUGCAUCAAAGAGCCAAUACUGCAUUUCAACAUAAGUGGGUUUCCAAGUCAUUGGGGUAUGACUAUGAAAUAUAGUUCGAAAAUGGUUCCGAAAAUGCAGUUGCAGAUGCAAUAUCUAGAUUGUAGGGUGCAGCUCAGUUACCAGAAAUCUCUUCUCAAUCUAUUGGGGAAUGCAAUGCUAUUUCGUACCCUUACCAUGGAUGGAUAGAUGAGUUGAGAAUGAACACUGAACAUGAUGAGCGAUUAUAGAAAAAAAGAAAGAAGUGGUUAAUUCUUCAAUGAGUGGCACAGGUAGUUCAGCUUUGCGAAAGUACACUAUUGACAAUGGUUUCUUGCUUUACAAGAAAAAGGUUGUGCUGAGCUCUCACUCUGAGUGGAGAAAGAAUAUUGUAGAAGAGCACCAUUACACUCCCUCUGCUGGCCAUUGCACUCCCAAAGCCUACCUGAGCCAGUAGAGCUUUUAAGUUGGUCUUUCGACGGAGAACCUUUGUUGCAACCUUCUUGCUUUCUCCUCUGGUUCAAGCGUAGGAUGAUGUAAAGCCUUGGAAAUAUUCAGGUAUCAAAUCGUAUUAAGUCUGAACGAUUUCACAAUUGUCCAAAUUUAGGGAAAUUUAAUAGGAUAGCAGAUCGACACUAUUCUAAUACUUAGAAAAUAGCAGCUUGCACAAUGUAUUGCGUGGCAAUCUAAGAUCGAAAUGAAAGUAUUAUGAAAAGAUCCUUCUCAUCUCAAGAUUUUGCUUUCGGUAUAUUUUUUUUGUCGAUCUUCAGUGGCACAGCUUCUAGCCCUUCUAUUGAGAGGUAAAUUGUCUCACUGCAUAUUGAUAGUAACAGUGAAUAAAUUUACAUCCGUGAGACACGAAUUUGUAAACACAUUCCUCGUCAAGAAUUGGUAAAUAGUAGCAUAACUAUUCUUAAUGAAUUUUAGUUACAUAAUCUUCGUUUUCCAACUACACCAGCGAAACCCCGAACUUCAAGGACCAAACUCGGAAUUUAUUCACGGUAAGAACCAAAGCAUCAGCCGCAGAUUGCGUUUCAUGGAGUGGAGAUGAGUCCAUACAACGGUAAAAAUGUUGCCUCGCUUCAUAAUUUAUUGGCAUACAAAAUCGGAGUAGAAAGCUAGGACUGUCCUCCUUUGACAGUUCUGAAUGCUUAGUAGUUCCACAUCAAAAACUUCAAACUGUUUCGAGCUGAAGAAGGUGGACGGUCCGACCUGUAAAACCAAUCGUCUUUUAUCAAGUAUACGAGGAAAUUCAAACACAAAAAUACUUGGUACUAGUUCGUGCAACAAAAACAUCCUCAACUCCAACUUUGGGUUUUCGGUAAAUAGGAUCUCUUGUAUAAAAGAACUAAUCUAAUGAUCUAAUGUGUUCAUGUCAUUCUGGGGUUGUCAAGGAUUUUGGAGGGUUAACAUUCAUGAUAUUCUUGCAUUUCAAGACCAAAUCCGCCUGAAAUACAGACAACAACAUUUCUGUUGAGACCUUGAUCUUCAAAUUCUCAAGUCCCGAGAUGUUGAACAAUGGAUCAAAACUCACAGGGUUGGAUGGCAAAGCAGCCAGGACAGUUGGAUCUAUGGGUGCAGAGUUUGCAGUAUUCAUGCUCAAAUAGAGAAGAUAUUACGAAUUCAAAGAAUUUUGGUGAACCUUAAACUAAGUUAUCACAGUAUAGAGGACUGCCUUCAAAAUGCAGGUAAAAGGAAAGGACAACAAUUGAAAUAGUAACUUGAAAUCGCAAGUCUUCUAAAACUUUGCCUCCUAGGCCAUGUCGUAAAUAUCUUAGGUGAGGUGAACUACGCAAGAAUAAAACGGACACAAGUACACAAACUACUCGUAGAAGGCUACUCAUUUCAACAUUUUAUAAUGAGUUCCGAAACUUCUUGGACUACAAAGUCUUUCCUGGAGCCAUUUACAGUUUGUUUGAAUGCUCCAACAUGUUUAGCAUCCCUUAUUCGUUAUGGAUACCAAUCAACCAAUAAGAUUGAAAUUACGAGAGGAAGAGAAUGCAAGUACACACUAUGGAACAAUACCAACUUAUCAGUAAACCAAGAAAAUUAGAGAUUUGAGUAAACUGACCGGCGGUCCAAGUUCUGGUGGAAUGAUUAUUCUUCUUUUCCCUCCAGGUUUCAUGUCACGAAUUCCUUCUUCAAAUCCUGCAGUACUUCCUAGUUUAGCAACUUUAACUACUAGUUAUCUUUUCCUCCUCCCUCUUCGCCACCUCUUCUCCGUUUCGUUCUCAGGGUGGAGAAGAGGGGUCAGGGCAAAGGACAAAGUACACAAGAUUUGAUGAACUUGAGAGUUGAUUGCACUUUUAACCUGGGACCAAUGCAUUUGUGCCCAUGCGGAUUCUGGCCGGAGAACCCUGCGUGUAACUGCUGUCAAUACGCCGGCCUGACUCGUUGUAUCCAAUAUAGUGGAACAUCACCUGCAAAGUAUCUUGAAUCAGAGGUGCUCAUAACUUAACUGUCACCUUUUACCCUUUUUGGGUAAAUUUUUCAAAUUCUAGUAUUAUUCAGAGAGGAAAACAACAGCUUUUAAAAAGCAUGAAAGAAAAACCUGUUGACCAGCCUCUGGGCAAUCACCUUCACCAACUACAAAAUCCCGAAAUAUAAGCCCCGAGUCUCGUGUGAUGUAGUUUGGUGGCGUUACUACCUGAACCUGAAAACCUGAUACACACGUUCAUAUAUACAUAUUGAUUCUGCUGGGAUCCAUAAAAAAACAAUGACUCAGUAACAGCAGAUUAAUUAGAGGAAACAAUAUAUCGAGAGUUUGUAUUUGUAAAGGCAACAGUGAUACAAACCUUCUCUAAUGAAACUUGGAAAGUCUUCGGGUGCAUUAUUUUCUUUCUGUAUCCGCUUGUUUUGUUCAAGUAAGCGCCUUUCAUCAAAUGGACUUUUACUCUUUGUCUUUGCAGAAGAAGAUAAAUUUGGAAACAAGCUAGUUGUGACCGAAAGAAAUAGGAGAAGCCUCCGACUCAAAUUCUCUUCGUAAUGUGAUAUGCCACGGCUCUUUUCCCCAGUUCUGCAAAGCAAAGGUUUAUGUAACAGGAAUUUUUGUUAUUCAUCAACAGAAUAAAGGGGUAAGGCUAGCCGACAUUCACCUCUCCCAGACCCUGCGUAAAGCGGGAGCCUUGUGCACUGGGUACGACGACGAUCAACAGAAUAAAGGGGGGCAAAAACUAGAUAAAAUUUGUAAACCGAUUAAAGAAAAUCUAACCUGUGAUGUCUCGAGUCAUGACUCGAGCAGCAUUGUAUUAUUUGGUUAUUCUGAUUCAAAUGAAUCCUUAGUAAGGGAGCUGGAAGAAUUCUGUUUGUCAGUAAGUUGAUAUUGACAAGAAAGAUAACAAAAACAUAUCUACGCUCACGGUUUAGCUGCUGAUAAAAAAGAGAGUGAAAAUUUUAUAAAGUCAGCAUAUGGAAAUAGUAAGAAUUUGGCAAGUUUCAUAGCUUCAUUCAGUCUUACUGCAUUGCUAUUCUUCGAGUCAAUUUUCUUUGAAGUGGCUUCUCGUGUUAGAAAGGAAUAGCGGAGACGUUUAAGUUGAAACUCUUAUAGCUAUGGCCAUUAUCAUGGACACGCCCAGAACCACCCCAGGAAGAAACCUCAAGCCCCUCACAGUCUCACCCCACCAUUUUCGGGUUAUCAAUUUCUCUAUACAGGAUGGGGUUGGACGCAGAGGAGGGUUUUAACUUGAUAUACAUUGUUGAUUCAUUCUCGAAUAUCUUUAAGCUUUUGCAGCUCUUCAACUAGUUUUUAGUAGGCAUCAGAAAAUCUAAUUUAACAGAAAGCCAAGUCCUUGAGACACCACUUUCCUUCGCUUUCGAAAACUUAUUGAAUUGUAAUUGACAAAGACACUAGAUUACCAUACGCUGCAAACAAGAUAAUUAGAGGCAGUUUUUCGUAAACAAUUUCUGGGCCUUUCAAUAAACUAAAAGUUGCAGUAGCAAAACAGAGAAAAGCCAAGAAAGUAGAAACAUUAAGGAAAAUAAAAAGCACAAUUUAAAGGCAUGUACGUUUCUUGUAUAAAUCAAAUUCCAACCCACUAAGAUUAUCCUGUAGAGAAAUGAUUUCCGCACGCUCGUUUCUCAUUUUGCACAACCUCGUUUAUUUUUGUCCAUCGAUCCUCCAAUGGUUUAUCUAAUUCAAAUAACAAGUGUGCGGGGAGAACGAGUGUGCGGAAAUCACUUCUCGAUCCAAUAUUCUACAUACAUACAUACAUACAUACAUACAUAGAGAGAGAGAGAUUACAGGGUUUAAAAGCGAGAGAAGAGGGAAUCAUCAGCAUGGCUCGGCUCGAGCUUUAAGCUUCCGGCAUGUAUGGGAGUUGGCCAAACACACACACAGAAGGAAAGAAACCGUUAUUUGGUGAUGUUAUCUCUUCAGAUUGCUGGUUAAGAGGCAAAUAAGUAAAUAUCAUUUAACUCCCCAAUGGUUCUUGUUAUGUCAUUUCCUCCCCUCAAGCUUCUUCAAUAUUGCCUGGAGGGGUCCAGGCUGACCCAGACCCAUCUUUCUUCUCUUGGGGUCCAAUUCGAUCCAAAUAUGUCUAUUCGGAUUAAGCCCAACCGAAAACGCACUUCAAGCUCAUAAAGGGCAUUUUUUUUUUUUUUUUUUUUUUUUAAGUACAUCAAUAGUUUUACACUAGGAUGAGAAGUUCAACCUAAUUUGGUAUUGAAUUCACCAUCCACUAGAUUUGAACAUAAGACCUCUCACUUUCAAGUGGAUAGAAAUAUCACCAGACCGUAGUACUGAGUGGUCUUAUAAAGCGGAUUUAGAUGCCCGAAAUUUUCAAUAUGUUCAAUGCAUAUAGAUCACUAAACAAUCUUCAAUUUGAUUAGUUUUUUGUAUAUAAUGAUAUUUAAAGAGAAUUGUAAUUGACACUGUAAAAAUAUAAUUGUACGCUCAAAAAUUUUUAUAUUUAAAAAAUAGUUUCCUAUUUAAAUAGUGAUUUAGAAAAUAAACAGUUUUGAUUAUGACAUGUGGCUGUAUAAAUUCCUUGACCACAAGUAGAUGAGAAAGAGGGUGCACUUAUCGUUGAUGAAAAAGGAGGUGGACGUAGUUAUAAUUCAUUGAACAAUGGUUUAAAAUACAAAGAUCUUGUAGCUCAAGUGGGUAGGAAUAUUUAUCAAUCCUUAUUCUUUUUGUAUAGUUCAUAAUUGGACCCACACAAAACUGAAAAUGGAGCAAUAGGCCGACUGUAAUCUUGACCCCGUAACCCGUUAG